This 734-nucleotide ribosomal RNA is filed under the name uncultured archaeon. RNAcentral describes it as "bacterial SSU rRNA". It matches the Rfam family "Archaeal small subunit ribosomal RNA", at positions 102 to 835 of the family's 1478-position model. The record is from RNAcentral.
GGAUAAUCUACCCUUAGGACUGGGAUAACCCUGGGAAACUAGGGCUAAUACCGGAUAGGCAAUUUUUCCUGCAAUGGUUUUUUGUUUAAAUGUUUUUUCGCCUAAGGAUGAGUCUGCGGCCGAUUAGGUAGUUGGUUAGGUAAUGGCUUACCAAGCCGUUGAUCGGUACGGGUUGUGAGAGCAAGAGCCCGGAGAUGGAACCUGAGACAAGGUUCCAGGCCCUACGGGGUGCAGCAGGCGCGAAACCUCCGCAAUGUGAGAAAUCGCGACGGGGGGAUCCCAAGUGCCAUUCUUAACGGGAUGGCUUUUCAUUAGUGUAAAGAGCUUUUGGAAUAAGAGCUGGGCAAGACCGGUGCCAGCCGCCGCGGUAACACCGGCAGCUCUAGUGGUAACAAUUUUUAUUGGGCCUAAAGCGUCCGUAGCCGGUUUAAUAAGUCUCUGGUGAAAUCCUGUAGCUUAACUGUGGGAAUUGCUGGAGAUACUAUUAGACUUGAGACCGGGAGAGGUUAGAGGUACUCCCAGGGUAGAGGUGAAAUUCUGUAAUCCUGGGAGGACCGCCUGUUGCGAAGGCGUCUAACUGGAACGGUUCUGACGGUGAGGGACGAAAGUUAGGGGCGCGAACCGGAUUAGAUACCCGGGUAGUCCUAACUGUAAACGAUGCGGACUUGGUGUUGGGGUGGCUUUGAGCUGCUCCAGUGCCGAAAGGGAAGCUGUUAAGUCCGCCGCCUGGGAAG